UGGGGAAUUUUGGACAAUGGGCGCAAGCCUGAUCCAGCCAUGCCGCGUGCGGGAAGAAGGCCUUCGGGUUGUAAACCGCUUUUGUCAGGGAAGAAAUCUUCUGAGUUAAUACCUCGGGAGGAUGACGGUACCUGAAGAAUAAGCACCGGCUAACUACGUGCCAGCAGCCGCGGUAAUACGUAGGGUGCAAGCGUUAAUCGGAAUUACUGGGCGUAAAGCGUGCGCAGGCGGUUUUGUAAGACAGAGGUGAAAUCCCCGGGCUCAACCUGGGAACUGCCUUUGUGACUGCAAGGCUUGAGUGCGGCAGAGGGGGGAUGGAAUUCCGCGUGUAGCAGUGGAAAUUGCGUAGAUAUGCGGAGGAACACCGAUGGGAAGGCAAUCCCCUGGGCCUGCANUGACGGCUCAUGCACGAAAGCGUGGGGAGCAAACAGGAUUAGAUACCCUGGU
This 447-nucleotide ribosomal RNA is filed under the name uncultured bacterium. RNAcentral describes it as "partial 16S ribosomal RNA". It matches the Rfam family "Bacterial small subunit ribosomal RNA", at positions 355 to 791 of the family's 1533-position model. The record is from RNAcentral.